UACGUAGGGGGCUAGCGUUGUCCGGAUUUACUGGGCGUAAAGGGCGCGCAGGCGGCGCAUUUUGUCAGGCGUGAAAGCCCCGGGCUUAACCUGGGAACUGCGUUUGAUACGGAUGGGCUAGAGUUCGGGAGAGGAGAGUGGAAUUCCCAGUGUAGAGGUGAAAUUCGUAGAUAUUGGGAAGAACACCGGUGGCGAAGGCGGCUCACUGGCUCAUUUCUGACGCUCAGGCGCGACAGCGUGGGGAUCAAACAGG
Molecule: ribosomal RNA, 253 nt
Filed under: uncultured bacterium
Lineage: Bacteria
Description: partial 16S ribosomal RNA
Rfam family: Bacterial small subunit ribosomal RNA
Source: RNAcentral